Molecule: ribosomal RNA, 754 nt
Filed under: uncultured eukaryote
Lineage: Eukaryota
Description: bacterial SSU rRNA
Rfam family: Eukaryotic small subunit ribosomal RNA
Source: RNAcentral
UAUUCAGCGCGCCGAGGUGUAAUUCUCGGAUUAAUGAAGUCGGACUUAUGCGAAAGCAUUCACCAAGGAUGUCUUCAUUAAUCAAGAACGAAAGUUAGGGGAUCGAAGACGAUCAGAUACCGUCGUAGUCUUAGCCAUAAGACUCACCCACUAGGGAUCAGACAAGGAUUUUUUGACUCAUUCGGCUCCUUAUGAGAAAUCAAAGCUUUUGGGUUCCGGCGAGAGUAUGGUCGCAAGGCUGAAACUUAAAGGAAUCGACGGAAGGGCACCACCAGGAGUGGAACUUGUUGCUUAAUUUGAGUUAACACGGGAAAACUUUCCAGGUCCAGACACAGUAAGGAUUGACAGAUUGAAGAUCUUUCUUGAUUUUGUGGGUGGUGGGGCAUGGCCGUUCUUAGUUGGUGGAGUGAUUUGUGAGGUUAAUUCCGUUAAUCAGGGAGACUUUCCCGAAUUAAAUAGUUAUUCAAAGUCUUCUUUUAUUGGACGUGACUUCUUAGAGGGACUAUCGGUGUGUAGCAUAGGGAAGUAAGAGGCAAUAACAGGUCUGUGAUGCCCUUAGAUGGUUUGGGCAGCGCGCGUGUGAAUCACCAAAGGGCCUCAAGCUUGCAACCUUUUUUGAUAUGUUAAAGUCAUCCUUUCCACAAAGUUGGGGCUGGGGACAGGUGAUAGUUAUUAUUCAAUUCAGGGAGGAAUUGUAGUAAAGCGCAAGUCAUCAAAUAACAUUGAUUACGUCCAUGCCCUUGGUACACACCGC